Molecule: long non-coding RNA, 1168 nt
Filed under: Cricetulus griseus (Chinese hamster)
Lineage: Eukaryota; Metazoa; Chordata; Mammalia; Rodentia; Cricetidae
Description: lncRNA (ENSCGRG00000025921.1)
Source: RNAcentral
ACCAAGACACAUUUUAUAGGUGUACAAUUCAUUUUGAACUAUCAGUUUUGAAUGUAGUUUAAAAUGUCCCUUGUGCUUUCUGCUACCUUGUAACCACAUAAUAAUACACUGUCUGAGACUUGGAAGUUCCUUACAUAAAUCACCAAUUUUGGUGUGGAUUUGAACUUUGGGAGUCCCAUCAUCUUUCCCUUAUCUGUUGUUUCAUCCUGGCCUCGAGAGUCAUCCAGACUGUUGGGCCACUCUGGUUAAAUAAUACCAGAGUCCAGGCUGUAAUGAGUUGGUGUCCAUGCUUUGUUCUGAAGCUUUAAUAUUUCCAUGAGUCUACAGGCUUGGCAGCUCUCUCUGAGUGUGUUGUUAGGGUUAGCACUUGCAGGAGGAUGUUCAUCAGGAGGCUCUUGAUUUCAUGUCUCAGGGAAACUCCCCAUUAGGGAAGAUCUUUCAGCAAUAUGGCCAGCAAGAAAGGAAAGGAGGAGAGCUUUUUGCUGGGAGCAUCCAAGGGAUUUGGUAUCAGGAGUCUUAGUUCUAAAGAUUUGCUUCGAAGAAUUAUUUGGAGCAAAUACAUGGGUGGGGGAGGUUGUAGACAAAGGAGGUAGUUGUUGUCCUCAGAAGGAGAGGACUUUUCGUUUUGCAGCUGAAUCAAUAUGAUUUUAAUUAUUUCUGGUUAUCUUUUAUGGGCUUGUAAGACAUUUCUUUUGUUCUGUGUAAUUAAAAACCCCAUUGUUAUAUCAGUUACUGACCACAUAUGAUAAGUAAUUUGAAACAUUCUUGAUGAAACUUGUCUGUUAAUUAACAUCAACACAGCUCAAGGACACUACCAGGACAACAAAGGUUCUGGGCAUGUGCCAUUCUUGGAAUUGAUGAGAUGUCUCUGGUGCCCAAUAAACCGAACCGAGAUGCCAAUGGUUAAAAAAAAAAAAACAACAACCAGGUGGGAAGGUCUGACUCAUCACCAGGGAAGAGUUGUAAAGUUGCACAAAAGAUUAUUGGAAUAUUACAAGCACGGGGAAGGCGGGGGAGGACCAAGUGUCAGCAGGCUGUUCCCGCCUGAUAGCCUGAUGGCUCAAGAACGGAAAAGUUUAUCCUUUUGUUUUCUGAGAUUUCUACCUGGACAAGGCCUGGUUCUAUACCCACAGAUAGGAGACAAAUUGGAUAUUAUUUGCCCAAAAGU